UUAGUGACAAUGCGCAGCAGUGGCCCGUCAACUGUCCUGAGCAUCUUUUUAGGCUGGCCUCAGUCAGUCGGUUAUAUCAAAUAUCAAGGUGAAACUCAUUAUAGCUCGCUUAGCAUAGACCCAGCUCCCAACCCAACUUUGAGAAUAGAUUAACGGCGAUAUUUUUUUAUCACCCAAUAAGUCUCACUCAUGCUCACUCAUAUAUAUAAUAUAAAGAAAUAAAGAAAUAAAGGUUACAAAAGGAAAAGACUAGAAUUUGAGAGGCUUGAAACAUAUUAAAAAUGAAAUAAAUAACUAAAUAAAUGAAUAGUUAACAAAAGGGGAAAAUGUUAAUUCUAGCAUUUGAGAGGUUGAAUCAAUCAAACAAACAAACAAACAAAUACAUACAUCAAAGGAAAGAUAUUAAGACUAGAAUGUAUGUAUGGGUCAUAUUUCUGUAUAUCUAUAGUAGUUGUAACAUAAUGUGCCGUUGUGAGAGAACUAUGAAAGAAUAAUGUAAAAAGGUUUAUAUAUUGUUGAUGUUGUCCAAUAAAACAUUUGUAUUUACCCCUAGUGCUGAAUAACAGUAGUUAUUGCUAUAAUAGGGUAAUUCAUAGGAAAUAUUGGCCCUGUUUGAAAUGCAGAUCAUUAGGAACAGGAAAGUUUCCCCCAAGCUUUUAAGAUCCAUUCUCUUAGGAUCGUAUGAAACCACAUAAUAAUCUGGAGACGUGUGUUUGUGUCUUCCAGACACAUGCACCCACUCACAGCUCUCAUAUUAUGUUUUUCACAUGUGCGGCCCACUCUUUCCAAUUAUCUGACCAUGUGAGCAUGAGUUAUAGCUGUGCGCUUUCUUUUGCGAGGUGUUACGACAUCUGCGCGGGAACAAGGAAAGAGGAAAAGAGAGAAAGCAUCGCUCUUUUGAAUAUAUAAAGAUCAAGAGAAGAUCAAAGGAGAGGACGCAGUAAGUCAGCUUACGGACGCUACGGUUAAUAGAUGAAAGCAUGACUGGCUCUCAUACAUGCUGUCUGUUUUCAUUCAUCCGGCCCGUCCUCUCAUCUCCUCACAAGCUCAAGCACUCUGCUCAGGCUUUGGCUCACUGCUGAGACUCGCACCCUAAAAAUCAGCCAUCCAACUGAAAAUCUUCCAACAGUAUAAUCCUGAAAUCAAAAAAAUAUUUUCUGAAGAUCUGUGAGUUGCAUUGCAUGUGCAAAGGUGGCUUUCACUAUGCCAGCGUGUUAAUGUGUUCUGAGUAUUUCACAGUAUGAUGCCAUGCAGUUGCUAGGGUGUUCUGGGUGGUUGCCAGGGUGUUGCUAAAACACCAACUUUCCUGCAUUGAGUUUCAGUAUAAAAAAAAGACAGCGGUGGACUGUACAAUGCAUUUCUACUUCGCUUCUGUAUUUAAGUAUAUUCUUAAAGUAUCUGUAUUUUAUCUGAGCAUCUAGUUUCUUGAGCUGGAGUGUGCAUGGAACUGCUGGCGUGGAAAAUAAGUUACUAAUUACAGAUUUGUAGAAUUUAUUACUGUAAUUAAAAAUCCUGUUUAGGUCGCGUACUGUCAGCCCACUGAAUUCAAACAUCUCAAUGGGGAAGAUUUUAGGUAAAAACCAAACAAAACAUUAAAAUGACGCAAAUGAAUGCAUCUUCCCUGCUGAAGCAGUUUCAAAUGAGUUUCAAACUAUGUUUCUUAAAAUUAUAUUCAUUUUGCCCUAUAUGAUGUGAUUUUACAGUGUAUUGUUUUUCGGCAAACAUCUUUUUUCUUCUCAUUUUUAAAUACUCUAUACAGGGCCCUAUGAUUUCCAUGAUGCAGAAAAUGUAGUCGGAAUCAGGCAUAAAACAAGUGUAACAGAAUUUGCAAAACUUUGGAUGAAAAGAUUAAAAGUAGGUCAGUACACUUAAAAAUGCAAUAUGGACUAAUGUCUAAGAAUAUUAAUCCUGCUUGUUCUGCGUGUAUCUGUGUGAAUGAAUGGCACAGACGUGUGUUUUUUUUUUACUACACACAUACUAAAGCAUGUGAUGCUCGGGGUGUUUUCAGCCUCUGCUGCCUCAGUAUAAGAGUACAUAAUCUAGAGCUGUUCUGAGUCACUUCAUGGGCAUUUUACCAUUUAUUUUGAGAAAAUCAAUCGUCAUAUCAUAUACAAACAGAAACUUAAAGGUUUUCACACAAAAAACUGUGUGAGACUCUGGGUUUGGUGUGUGUUUUGUACCCCAUGUGUUUCCAUGCCCUUAUUUGGUUUUCCUGUUCUGUUAUGUUUAAUUGGUUCCAGCUUUGUUUAAUUAAUUAUCCUAUUAUGCCCUUGUAUUUAAACCCUGAGUCUAUGCCAGCUGUCAAAAUGUCAUUCUGUGUUCCUGAUGUGUCGAGUCCUGUGAUCCCCAGCCUUUGGACAGUCGUCUUCUCCCUUUUCUUCUUUUUAAAGGGAAUGUGUUGCUACGAAUCAAACACACAACAAGCCCAUAGCGGUGAUGUAAAAGUGCCCUUUGCCUCCCACACUGGAGAAACAGAUGCCGGAGAGAAUCAAAGCACCCUCCUCUCUGAGAUCCUGCUCUCCACUGACUCACACUUCCUCCACACUUCUCUCACUCCAUACACUCUUAGGUCUCAGAGGACAGUAUUAGUUUAGUGUACAUAUACAUAUCGAAGCUCCUAAGUUGAACAGAUGCUGAAUCAAGGUAUCUCUAGUUUUAUAAUUUUGACUAUUGCAAGAUUGGUCAGCUAGAGCUUAUUCUAGACAAGAAUCAAUCAUUUUAGAAGAGAAUCGUUCAUCUGAUCUAACCAACCAUAGUUAUUGUUUUAAGUGACCAAUAGUGGCACUUUUAUCUGAAAUGGAUGUUUAAGAUAACAAGAUAACAGACAAGAAUUCAAGUAAGAGCACGUUCAAAUACUUGCACAACAGUUUCCAUGGUGGCACAGGGGUCAAAGACAUGACCCUCAUUUAUUUUAUUGUUAUUAUUAUUGUUUUGUACCUACAUCAGAAACACAUCUUGAUUUUUAUUUAUUUAAAAUGAAAUUCUUAGAGCAUCAGUUAAAAAAUGUCAGGGUGAUACAAUUGUCCUAAUAUCAUAAUAGGAAAAAAAUAAUAAAUAAUAGAAUAUAGUUGUAUAAAAUAAUAAUAAUAAAUAAUUUGGAUUUUUUUAAGCAUUUAUAUUUGAAGAAAACAAUUGCCUGUCAAGUUCAAUAAGCCAAUAAACAUGUAGGAGAAAAAAAAACAUAAACCAAUAAAUGUUAUCAUAUAGAGGACCCUUGUAGACCCAUUUGACUGUGUGCAAGGACAAAAGGUCUCAAAAUAUCAUUUUGGCAAUCAUAUAGGUAAGAUUAGUUUAAGUUACAAAAAAAAAAAAAACAAGACAUUUUUAUUUUACAGUUACACAACAUGAAUUUAAUUUUUUUUUUUUAAAUGGUUUAUUUAUUUUUGAAAUGGUUUGAAGCAUGCAAAGAGUAGUUCCUAAGAACUUAGCACAUGCAUUCUAUGCAAAAUUAUUCAAAUAUUUCUCCUUUUCUUUAACUUAGACACUUCUGACCCACAGAAAUGGAAAAACAUAGUGAAAAAUAUAUGUUGACUUUGUGGUCAAAAUGUUCAGCUACUAAAAAGCAAUUCAUACAGACUAUUUUAUGAACAUAAUUCAGCAUAAAAAGUAUGUGGACUUUCAAAUACUUGCAGCCAUGAACUUCACAACUUUGGCAAAUCCAGCUGCAUUUUUAUGUGAUUGCCCUUCGUCCCUCUGUUAUAUUUUGUAAAGCUUUAGACUCUAUAUGAGCAGACUAAGGCUGGUCUGUACCUCCUCCAACACAGAGGUCUGAGGCUCAGUGAGAAUGAUAAGACUGGUUCUCUGUAUCUCUCUGUGUUCUGAGGCGUGUGGCAGCACUGGGAUCAGGGAUUUUGUUACAUCACCAAAGGAGCAGUCAAUCACUUGAGAGAUGUGUGAUUAAAAGGACAACCGCCCACAACGCUGGUUUAGUUUGUGGAUGUGCGUGUUUGCGUGCCGGGUGAGAAUGAGGGAAACGUACAUGUGUGGGUGGAGAUGUGGGAACCAGACGGGAUGCAUUUGAUGGAGGACACAAAGAUGGGUAUGUUAAAUGUUUGCUUGGAAACUGUUAGCUCAAAACUAUAAAAUAGCACAGCAAACACAACUCCGUUCAGUCUUAGGAUACUUAGGAUACUUAGGAUACAAAUUUCUUGACUUCUUUGAAGAUGGCGUGCUACAAAAACUGUGGAUGUGGCAGUUUAGUACAAAUGCUUUUAAGAAAAUCUUAUCCAUCAGAGCUUUUCUAGUGCGUAAGUGUCCUGACAGAGGAAGUGGAAAUCCCCAUUCACAAAUGAUCAAUUUUUCCACUAUCCAUAAACAGAUUAGCAGAUCUCCAUGACAGACCACAGAUAAAAGUCUCUAAUAUUCAACAUGUAGCCAAUUCCAUCCCAGUUAAAUUCGGAGCAGGAAGGAUUACUUGUAUCUGUAGAGCAAAGACUUCAGGAUUCACUUAUAGGCCAAAAGAACAAUGUGUUUAAAAAGUCAUGGAGUCAAACCUCUAUCUGGAUCUGGACACUGUAUAAGAUAUAUUUUAAGAUCUGCAAACUGCAACAUAUAUCCUUAAUGGGACACCUGCAAUUUCAAUGAUCAUGCACUCUUAUGCCACUCAAAAUAAUUUGACUUUCUUUCUUCCAUCUAGCAUUUUUUUUUUUUUUUUUCUCAGACAUUACUCUGACCACUCUUGACAAAAUAAUGCAAGUGAUUGAGGACUGAAUCUGUCAAGUUUCAAACAAUACUCUUUUAAACAUUUCUUUCCCCCCAAAUUAAAUAAAACAAACAUUACUGAAGGAUGGUUUACAAGAAGGGAAAAAAAAGAUUCAGAUAUUCAGUCUUUAUUUUCUCUCUCUCUAUAUAUUUAUUUACUAGCAAUUACUCUGUGAAAAAAACGCUUCCUAGUAGUACUUAACAUAUGAUAAUACCUAACCCUAACCCUAACCCUAACAAUCCUUAAUCAACUAUUACCUUUAAAUAAGCAAGGAUUAUUCAAUUCAGUUUGAUAGAAUUUUACUAUUAAUUAAAUUGUGUAAAUCUUAAAAAAUGGCUUAAUUUUUUUGAGAGUAAAUAAUAAUACAACUGACAGCACUAUUUAUUUAUUUGUAACUGCUACAGAUAUCUUCAUGAAUUCUUAUGGCCAUGACAAUUGUGUGAAAAUCUGAUAUUGUGACAGCCCUGCUCUGAAAUACACUGUGAAUUGAAUAUAUUCUGGGUUAUGAAACUAACAGUAAAUGCCAUUCGUUUUAUGAAAAUGUCACUGAAAUCAACCCUGUAAAAACAGGGCCCAGUGUACUGUAUUAACAUGAAGGGAUAUUCUCUAUUGAUUAUUUAAGUGCAUUUAACCCAUACGCAUUAAAAUGUGUUGUGUUUUAGGAAAAGGAAUACGCCUCUAAACUAAAUUACCAGUACCUUUUCUGUUUUUCUACAGAUAUUUUUUUGCAGUGUGGAAGGAAGAAAGGCAUAUGGGCUUUAUACAGCACAAGUAACCAUCAUUACAGCAUGAAACAUCCCUUUAACUGUUUUUCAAAGCAACACUAUCACGCACAUACCCCAUGCGCACACUGCGUGUGAAUAUGGAUCUGACAGCGCUGUUUAUAUCACGUAACAGCUUUCCCUCUCUGUCAUGGGAUCCUGUGAAGAGAUUUCAUUACUGACCGACCACUGAAGCAGUGUCUCUCUUAUCGUCAGCUGUCAAACUCAAUCACGUCCCCCAUCAUCUCCCUCCACGUGUGUGAGUGUGUGUGUGUUUAAAUGAUCUGUCACAGGCCUGCGCUCUCCACUACAAGGAGCUGUGCAGAAACUAAUUACAACACACUCUAUGUUCUCCUCAAUCACAAAAGUGUGAAAUAUUAAUCCAGCGGCGGCACAAAGAGCCUUUCAUCUUAUUAUUGCUGUAUAUUUCAUUAUUUCAUUUCUCUUGCUCAUGAAACACUUUUGAAGGUUCAGGGAGGUAUGACUCUGAAAGAGAACGCAAACACACACACACACACACACAUACACACAGGAAAAACUGCUAGGACUUUAUAUGAUCUAACAGUAUUACCAUAAAAUAACAGACAAUAAAAUACCACUUCAGAAUUGUAAAAUGCAAUCAAUGGAGGAUCAGUCAUUUUCUGCCAUAAUAAUAAAAAAAGACUGUAAAAAAUGGGAGGAAAGAAUCCACGGCUCUACAGUGAAUGAAAAUUGUUUUAAUAAUGUAUUCACUUUUUUUUUUUCAUUUGAUUUUUAGUGCCAUAUUAGAGAAAGGUUUUUAUUAAUUUAUUUGUAAAUUCAUUUCUCAUUUGUUCUCCUUUUUCUCUCCAAGCCCAACAUCUAUAAAAAACCCAGCUGAAAAUCAGCUUUGCAUAACAGGAAUAAAUUACAUUUUAAAAUAUAUUCAAAUAGAAAGCAGUUAUUUUAAAGAGUAUUGUUUAAAGUUUCAAACAAUACUCUUUUAAACAUUUCUUUCCCCCCAAAUUAAAUAAAACAAACAUUACUGAAGGAUGGUUUACAAGAAGGGAAAAAAAAGAUUCAGAUAUUCAGUCUUUAUUUUCUCUCUCUCUAUAUAUUUAUUUACUAGCAAUUACUCUGUGAAAAAAACGCUUCCUAGUAGUACUUAACAUAUGAUAAUACCUAACCCUAACCCUAACCCUAACAAUCCUUAAUCAACUAUUACCUUUAAAUAAGCAAGGAUUAUUCAAUUCAGUUUGAUAGAAUUUUACUAUUAAUUAAAUUGUGUAAAUCUUAAAAAAUGGCUUAAUUUUUUUGAGAGUAAAUAAUAAUACAACUGACAGCACUAUUUAUUUAUUUGUAACUGCUACAGAUAUCUUCAUGAAUUCUUAUGGCCAUGACAAUUGUGUGAAAAUCUGAUAUUGUGACAGCCCUGCUCUGAAAUACACUGUGAAUUGAAUAUAUUCUGGGUUAUGAAACUAACAGUAAAUGCCAUUCGUUUUAUGAAAAUGUCACUGAAAUCAACCCUGUAAAAACAGGGCCCAGUGUACUGUAUUAACAUGAAGGGAUAUUCUCUAUUGAUUAUUUAAGUGCAUUUAACCCAUACGCAUUAAAAUGUGUUGUGUUUUAGGAAAAGGAAUACGCCUCUAAACUAAAUUACCAGUACCUUUUCUGUUUUUCUACAGAUAUUUUUUUGCAGUGUGGAAGGAAGAAAGGCAUAUGGGCUUUAUACAGCACAAGUAACCAUCAUUACAGCAUGAAACAUCCCUUUAACUGUUUUUCAAAGCAACACUAUCACGCACAUACCCCAUGCGCACACUGCGUGUGAAUAUGGAUCUGACAGCGCUGUUUAUAUCACGUAACAGCUUUCCCUCUCUGUCAUGGGAUCCUGUGAAGAGAUUUCAUUACUGACCGACCACUGAAGCAGUGUCUCUCUUAUCGUCAGCUGUCAAACUCAAUCACGUCCCCCAUCAUCUCCCUCCACGUGUGUGAGUGUGUGUGUGUUUAAAUGAUCUGUCACAGGCCUGCGCUCUCCACUACAAGGAGCUGUGCAGAAACUAAUUACAACACACUCUAUGUUCUCCUCAAUCACAAAAGUGUGAAAUAUUAAUCCAGCGGCGGCACAAAGAGCCUUUCAUCUUAUUAUUGCUGUAUAUUUCAUUAUUUCAUUUCUCUUGCUCAUGAAACACUUUUGAAGGUUCAGGGAGGUAUGACUCUGAAAGAGAACGCAAACACACACACACACACACAUACACACAGGAAAAACUGCUAGGACUUUAUAUGAUCUAACAGUAUUACCAUAAAAUAACAGACAAUAAAAUACCACUUCAGAAUUGUAAAAUGCAAUCAAUGGAGGAUCAGUCAUUUUCUGCCAUAAUAAUAAAAAAAGACUGUAAAAAAUGGGAGGAAAGAAUCCACGGCUCUACAGUGAAUGAAAAUUGUUUUAAUAAUGUAUUCACUUUUUUUUUUUCAUUUGAUUUUUAGUGCCAUAUUAGAGAAAGGUUUUUAUUAAUUUAUUUGUAAAUUCAUUUCUCAUUUGUUCUCCUUUUUCUCUCCAAGCCCAACAUCUAUAAAAAACCCAGCUGAAAAUCAGCUUUGCAUAACAGGAAUAAAUUACAUUUUAAAAUAUAUUCAAAUAGAAAGCAGUUAUUUUA
Long non-coding RNA from Carassius auratus (goldfish), 8075 nucleotides. RefSeq lists it as uncharacterized. NCBI's taxonomy places the organism in Eukaryota, Metazoa, Chordata, Actinopteri, Cypriniformes, Cyprinidae. The transcript has 3 exons. The record is from RefSeq and is a predicted model, not a curated record.